This is a long non-coding RNA of Neofelis nebulosa (Clouded leopard), 870 nucleotides long. RefSeq lists it as uncharacterized. The record is from RefSeq and is a predicted model, not a curated record. Lineage: Eukaryota; Metazoa; Chordata; Mammalia; Carnivora; Felidae. The transcript has 3 exons.
CUUCGUGGACGCUAGAACCGAAGCAAAUCACUCUAGUCAUGGCUUCAAGAAAAGAAAAAUUAUUCUCUUCUAAGCUCUGCUUUUUCUCAUUAGAGAAAUGAUGUACUUAAUGUUUUUUAUUGUUUAUUAUUUUUGAGACAGAAAGAGAGAGAGAGAGACUGAGAGUAAGCAGGGAAGGGGCAGAGAGAGAGAGGGAGACACAGAAUCGGAAGCAGGCUCCAGGCUCUGAGCGCUCAGGACAGAGCCCAAGGUGGGGCUCAAACUCACAGACAGCGAGAUCAUGACCUGAGCUGGAGUCAGCCGCCCAACCGACUGAGCCAUCCAGGCACCCCUGAUGUAUUUAAUUUUAAAGUGUGUUUCCUGUGGCAAAGAUCCUGGAAUUAAAGAGUGACGUUUACUCUCUCAUCCACACCAGAGUUCCUCAAAUAUCCAGCUCUCCUAUCUCUCAUUGGUCUCUUCUCCUCCCACUGGUUCAUUCUCCACCCUCUCCACUCUCCACCCUCCGGGCACUGGCCUCUAGAGACAGCACAGGCUGAGCUCCUCAGUGUGCCCCUGGUUAGAUUUGGUCAACAGGAAGCCCCAGUUAAGACAUCAAAGAGCAGAGGAAUGAGAGGUCAGGUAGAUGUUCUCCCUGCUGAACCUACUGGGUCACGGUUUGGCAAUGGCUCUGUUCCUCCAUCUAGAGAGUCAUAGCUCCUCUACGAUGCCUUAACUCUUAUGUUGAAAUAACACAUUCCAUCUUCUUGUAUCUUCAGGCCUAAAGGUAAUAGUAGCUUCUGCUUUUUAUUUCCCAGUGCUUCAGUAUCAUCUGUUGGUUCACUUAAACCUGCCUUUAGUCCCUGCAUUAUAUUAUUUUUAAUUACUCCUUUG